This 426-nucleotide ribosomal RNA is filed under the name uncultured bacterium. RNAcentral's name for it is "partial 16S ribosomal RNA". It matches the Rfam family "Bacterial small subunit ribosomal RNA", at positions 354 to 796 of the family's 1533-position model. The record is from RNAcentral.
GUGAGGAAUUUUCCGCAAUGGGCGAAAGCCUGACGGAACAAUGCCGCGUGAAGGAUGAAGGCCUAUGGGUUGUAAACUUCUUUUCUCAGAAAAGAAUUAUGACGGUAUCUGAGGAAUAAGCAUCGGCUAACUCUGUGCCAGCAGCCGCGGUAAGACAGAGGAUGCAAGCGUUAUCCGGAAUGAUUGGGCGUAAAGCGUCUGUAGGUUGUUUAAAAAGUAUUCUGUCAAAGAUUAGGGCUUAACCCUAGAUAGGCAGAAUAAACUUUUAAGCUAGAGUUUGGUAGAGGCAGAGGGAAUUCCCGGUGGAGCGGUGAAAUGCGUAGAUAUCGGGAGGAACACCAAAGGCGAAGGCACUCUGCUGGGCCAAUACUAACACUGAGAGACGAAAGCGAGGGGAGCAAAUGGGAUUAGAUACCCGGGUAGUCC